ACAUCUCGCACUAUCAGGUUCGAAUGUGUUCCAGGUGCUGGGGCUGUGUCACCGGGCCUGGACUUCCCCUUCCUGUGUCUAACUGCAGCAGCCGCUGUCCUCGCCGGGCAGCACUUCCUGGUUCCCGUCAGACCCCCUUGUGCCAACAAUGGGUGGCCAUGAGCAUGUCAGGAAUGACUACGGUGGGGUCACUCAUCUGACUGGCAACAUCUGAAUCGCAUUUUCGUGGCCAUUAAGGUCCCAGGGAAGAGGUAGAUAUCUUGGGCAGAUUUUCCUCAAAGGCCGAUGAACCUUGAUUGUGGCCGUACCCUAGGCGUGGAUCCAGCACGGGGCUGCAUUCACCCCCUUGUCCUUCCUCAACGGCCACCAAAAGGGGAGAUUCUUGGAGUUUGUCAGAAAACAGAUGGACUGGAAUUAAGCACCUCCAAAUGCUGGGCUAUGAGACCUACUGCUGUGGACACCAUGACUGGUUGGCUGUGGAGUUCCAGACUUUGAGGAGAAGCUGAUUUCUGCCAGAAAUCUUCAUCUCCUGCUUCGGAGCUUCUGGCUCCACUUAACCCUCCAUGACGUCUUUCGCUGAAGUACUGCCCUGGGUGAAUGAUGACUCCCACAGUCCUCCUGCUCUCCCUCCUCUUCCUCAGAGCACCUGCCCAAUUUAACCCUGAGGUUACGCAAGGCAGGGAAACCCAGGCAGCCGGCUCCCUCGAGCCCGUACGGCCGCGGUUCUGUUUAUAAGAAAUCUCUGCAUUUUCCAUGUAAACCCAGAGAUUUUCGGUAAAUCACGUCAGAAACACGACUGUUCCAUUAUCGGACCCGGACGUGUGACGUAUGUUCUCGCACUUCCCAUAAAGCGAUGAAGCAUGUGAUUGCGCCGUCACAGCAAAUAGCUCAUAUUAUCCGUCCCCCACCCCCAAUUUCAGAGAUGUUUUGUUUGAUAACAUACCCUGGGCCUGUUCUCAGCAAAGCUGCCCCAUGAUUGUGUGGCAAUGAUUGAAUUUCUGUUGUUUUAUUAAGGAUUGAGACAAAACAGCCUGCGACUGAAAUGGGCCCUUAACUUGCGCUAUUAUUUUAACAGCCGAUGUUGUCUCACAGGUAAAUGGGGGGUUGGGGAGUUCUGUUAACUUUCGACCAGCUGACUGUUUUGAUUGUCAUAUCCCAUUGAGAAUAAACAAGGAGGACUGUGUAAAAGAGCCUAACAUGGACCCUCUGCAUCUACAACACUCUGGUGAGGCCUGAAAGAGUUAGGG
Paramormyrops kingsleyae is the source of this 1247-nucleotide long non-coding RNA. RefSeq lists it as uncharacterized. NCBI's taxonomy places the organism in Eukaryota, Metazoa, Chordata, Actinopteri, Osteoglossiformes, Mormyridae. The record is from RefSeq and is a predicted model, not a curated record.